CGUGUGGUUUAAUUCGUUGCUACACGAAGUAACCUUACCUGGGUUUGACAUAGCAGUGGUAGGAAGCGAAAGCGGACCGACCUUCGGGAGCUGUUACAGGUGUUGCAUGGCUGUCGUCAGCUCGUGUCGUGAGAUGUUCGGUUAGGUCCGCUAACGAGCGCAACCCGCGUUGUGUGUUACAAGUGUCACACAAUACCGCCGGUAUUAAGUCGGGGGAAGGUGCGGAUGACGUCAAGUCAGCAUGACCUUUAUAUCCAGGGCUACACACACGCUACAAUGGUCAGCACAAUAGGUUGCCAAGUCGUGAGACGGAGCCAAUCCUCCAAAGCUGGCCUCAGUUCAGAUUGUAGGCUGCAACCCGCCUGCAUGAAGUUGGAGUUGCUAGUAACCGCAGGUCAGCUAUACUGCGGUGAAUACGUUCCCGGGGAUU
This 430-nucleotide ribosomal RNA is filed under the name uncultured Anaerolineaceae bacterium. RNAcentral describes it as "bacterial SSU rRNA". It matches the Rfam family "Bacterial small subunit ribosomal RNA", at positions 938 to 1378 of the family's 1533-position model. Lineage: Bacteria; Bacillati; Chloroflexota; Anaerolineae; Anaerolineales; Anaerolineaceae. The record is from RNAcentral.